RNAcentral lists this ribosomal RNA (2734 nucleotides) under Enterobacter hormaechei subsp. hoffmannii UCI 50. Its description in RNAcentral is "bacterial LSU rRNA". It matches the Rfam family "Bacterial large subunit ribosomal RNA". Lineage: Bacteria; Pseudomonadati; Pseudomonadota; Gammaproteobacteria; Enterobacterales; Enterobacteriaceae. The record is from RNAcentral.
UUAAGCGACUAAGCGUACACGGUGGAUGCCCUGGCAGUCAGAGGCGAUGAAGGACGUGCUAAUCUGCGAAAAGCGCCGGCGAGGUGAUAUGAACCUUUGACCCGGCGAUGUCCGAAUGGGGAAACCCAGUGCAAUCCGUUGCACUAUCGUUAACUGAAUACAUAGGUUAACGAGGCGAACCGGGGGAACUGAAACAUCUAAGUACCCCGAGGAAAAGAAAUCAACCGAGAUUCCCCCAGUAGCGGCGAGCGAACGGGGAGCAGCCCGGAGUCUGAAUCAGCUUGUGUGUUAGUGGAACGGUCUGGAAAGUCCGACGGUACAGGGUGAUAGUCCCGUACACGAAAGCACACAUGCUGUGAACUCGAAGAGUAGGGCGGGACACGUGGUAUCCUGUCUGAAUAUGGGGGGACCAUCCUCCAAGGCUAAAUACUCCUGACUGACCGAUAGUGAACCAGUACCGUGAGGGAAAGGCGAAAAGAACCCCGGCGAGGGGAGUGAAAAAGAACCUGAAACCGUGUACGUACAAGCAGUGGGAGCCUCUUUAUGGGGUGACUGCGUACCUUUUGUAUAAUGGGUCAGCGACUUAUAUUCUGUAGCAAGGUUAACCGUAUAGGGGAGCCGAAGGGAAACCGAGUCUUAACUGGGCGUUAAGUUGCAGGGUAUAGACCCGAAACCCGGUGAUCUAGCCAUGGGCAGGUUGAAGGUUGGGUAACACUAACUGGAGGACCGAACCGACUAAUGUUGAAAAAUUAGCGGAUGACCUGUGGCUGGGGGUGAAAGGCCAAUCAAACCGGGAGAUAGCUGGUUCUCCCCGAAAGCUAUUUAGGUAGCGCCUCGUGAACUCAUCUUCGGGGGUAGAGCACUGUUUCGGCUAGGGGGCCAUCCCGGCUUACCAACCCGAUGCAAACUACGAAUACCGAAGAAUGUUAUCACGGGAGACACACGGCGGGUGCUAACGUCCGUCGUGAAGAGGGAAACAACCCAGACCGCCAGCUAAGGUCCCAAAGUCAUGGUUAAGUGGGAAACGAUGUGGGAAGGCACAGACAGCCAGGAUGUUGGCUUAGAAGCAGCCAUCAUUUAAAGAAAGCGUAAUAGCUCACUGGUCGAGUCGGCCUGCGCGGAAGAUGUAACGGGGCUAAACCAUGCACCGAAGCUGCGGCAGCGACGCUUAUGCGUUGUUGGGUAGGGGAGCGUUCUGUAAGCCGUUGAAGGUGUCCUGUGAGGGGUGCUGGAGGUAUCAGAAGUGCGAAUGCUGACAUAAGUAACGAUAAAGCGGGUGAAAAGCCCGCUCGCCGGAAGACCAAGGGUUCCUGUCCAACGUUAAUCGGGGCAGGGUGAGUCGACCCCUAAGGCGAGGCCGAAAGGCGUAGUCGAUGGGAAACAGGUUAAUAUUCCUGUACUUGGUGUUACUGCGAAGGGGGGACGGAGAAGGCUAUGUCAGCCGGGCGACGGUUGUCCCGGUUUAAGCAUGUAGGCGGAGGUUCCAGGUAAAUCCGGUACCUUAUUAACGCUGAGGUGUGAUGACGAGGCACUACGGUGCUGAAGUGAUAAAUGCCCUGCUUCCAGGAAAAGCCUCUAAGCAUCAGGUAACACGAAAUCGUACCCCAAACCGACACAGGUGGUCAGGUAGAGAAUACCAAGGCGCUUGAGAGAACUCGGGUGAAGGAACUAGGCAAAAUGGUGCCGUAACUUCGGGAGAAGGCACGCUGAUAUGUAGGUGAAGUCCCUGCGGACGGAGCUGAAAUCAGUCGAAGAUACCAGCUGGCUGCAACUGUUUAUUAAAAACACAGCACUGUGCAAACACGAAAGUGGACGUAUACGGUGUGACGCCUGCCCGGUGCCGGAAGGUUAAUUGAUGGGGUUAGCGGCAACGCGAAGCUCUUGAUCGAAGCCCCGGUAAACGGCGGCCGUAACUAUAACGGUCCUAAGGUAGCGAAAUUCCUUGUCGGGUAAGUUCCGACCUGCACGAAUGGCGUAAUGAUGGCCAGGCUGUCUCCACCCGAGACUCAGUGAAAUUGAACUCGCUGUGAAGAUGCAGUGUACCCGCGGCAAGACGGAAAGACCCCGUGAACCUUUACUAUAGCUUGACACUGAACACUGGUCCUUGAUGUGUAGGAUAGGUGGGAGGCUUUGAAGCGUGGACGCCAGUCUGCGUGGAGCCAACCUUGAAAUACCACCCUUUAAUGGCUGGUGUUCUAACGUAGACCCGUAAUCCGGGUUGCGGACAGUGUCUGGUGGGUAGUUUGACUGGGGCGGUCUCCUCCCAAAGAGUAACGGAGGAGCACGAAGGUUGGCUAAUCCUGGUCGGACAUCAGGAGGUUAGUGCAAUGGCAUAAGCCAGCUUGACUGCGAGCGUGACGGCGCGAGCAGGUGCGAAAGCAGGUCAUAGUGAUCCGGUGGUUCUGAAUGGAAGGGCCAUCGCUCAACGGAUAAAAGGUACUCCGGGGAUAACAGGCUGAUACCGCCCAAGAGUUCAUAUCGACGGCGGUGUUUGGCACCUCGAUGUCGGCUCAUCACAUCCUGGGGCUGAAGUAGGUCCCAAGGGUAUGGCUGUUCGCCAUUUAAAGUGGUACGCGAGCUGGGUUUAGAACGUCGUGAGACAGUUCGGUCCCUAUCUGCCGUGGGCGCUGGAGAAUUGAGGGGGGCUGCUCCUAGUACGAGAGGACCGGAGUGGACGCAUCACUGGUGUUCGGGUUGUCAUGCCAAUGGCACUGCCCGGUAGCUAAAUGCGGAA